RNAcentral lists this signal recognition particle RNA (304 nucleotides) under Phaseolus vulgaris (common bean). RNAcentral's name for it is "SRP RNA Plant_SRP". It matches the Rfam family "Plant signal recognition particle RNA". Lineage: Eukaryota; Viridiplantae; Streptophyta; Magnoliopsida; Fabales; Fabaceae. The record is from Rfam by way of RNAcentral.
GCUGAGCUGGGUUACUCCAGCUUGUGACCCAAGUGGGAGCAUCAAUGUGAUGGAACAACACUCAGACUUGCUGGGUUGGGCUGUGUUUGCAAUAUGCUGGCCUGCCCAUUCCAAGUUGAGAGUUGAGUCUGGUGACCUUGGUGAAGACUAAGGUCUCUUAGCUCUUAGAGUGGAGGGCACAGCGUGAGGCUGGUUUCACAGAGCAGCGACCACCUCCCACUCCCAACAGUGGAGGGAUCACAGGCUGCUGCACUCAUAGCUCAGAAUGGCCUGGUGACUCUAUAAUGCUUGGACCAUCACUUUU